GAGGAAAAGAAACUAACAAGGAUUCCCCUAGUAGCGGCGAGCGAAGCGGGAAGAGCUCAAAUUUAUAAUCUGGCACCUUCGGUGUCCGAGUUGUAAUCUCUAGAAAUGUUUUCCGCGUUGGACCGCACACAAGUCUGUUGGAAUACAGCGGCAUAGUGGUGAGACCCCCGUAUAUGGUGCGGACGCCCAGCGCUUUGUGAUACAUUUUCGAAGAGUCGAGUUGUUUGGGAAUGCAGCUCAAAUUGGGUGGUAAAUUCCAUCUAAAGCUAAAUAUUGGCGAGAGACCGAUAGCGAACAAGUACCGUGAGGGAAAGAUGAAAAGCACUUUGGAAAGAGAGUUAACAGUACGUGAAAUUGUUGGAAGGGAAACGCUUGAAGUCAGACUUGCUUGCCGAGCAAUCGGUUUGCAGGCCAGCAUCAGUUUUCCGGGAUGGAUAAUGGUAGAGAGAAGGUAGCAGUUUCGGCUGUGUUAUAGCUCUCUGCUGGAUACAUCUUGGGGGACUGAGGAACGCAGUGUGCCUUUGGCGGGGGUUUCGACCUCUUCACACUUAGGAUGCUGGUGGAAUGGCUUUAAACGAC
This 579-nucleotide ribosomal RNA is filed under the name Rhodotorula mucilaginosa. Its description in RNAcentral is "eukaryotic LSU rRNA". It matches the Rfam family "Eukaryotic large subunit ribosomal RNA", at positions 53 to 648 of the family's 3401-position model. Lineage: Eukaryota; Fungi; Basidiomycota; Microbotryomycetes; Sporidiobolales; Sporidiobolaceae. The record is from RNAcentral.